RNAcentral lists this ribosomal RNA (505 nucleotides) under uncultured bacterium. RNAcentral's name for it is "partial 16S ribosomal RNA". It matches the Rfam family "Bacterial small subunit ribosomal RNA", at positions 28 to 507 of the family's 1533-position model. The record is from RNAcentral.
GACGAACGCUGGCGGCGUGCCUAAUACAUGCGAGUAGAACGCACAGUUUAUACCGUAGCUUGCUACACCAUAGACUGUGAGUUGCGAACGGGUGAGUAACGCGUAGGUAACCUGCCUGGUAGCGGGGGAUAACUAUUGGAAACGAUAGCUAAUACCGCAUAAUAUUAAUUAUUGCAUGAUAAUUAAUUGAAAGGUGCAAUUGCACCACUACCAGAUGGACCUGCGUUGUAUUAGCUAGUAGGUGAGGUAACGGCUCACCUAGGCGACGAUACAUAGCCGACCUGAGAGGGUGAUCGGCCACACUGGGACUGAGACACGGCCCAGACUCCUACGGGAGGCAGCAGUAGGGAAUCUUCGGCAAUGGACGAAAGUCUGACCGAGCAACGCCGCGUGAGUGAAGAAGGUUUUCGGAUCGUAAAGCUCUGUUGUAAGAGAAGAACGGGUGUGAGAGUGGAAAGUUCACACUGUGACGGUAGCUUACCAGAAAGGGACGGCUAACUACGUG